GACGAACGCUGGCGGCGUGCUUAACACAUGCAAGUCGAACGGAAAGGCCCUGCUUUUGUGGGGUGCUCGAGUGGCGAACGGGUGAGUAACACGUGAGUAACCUGCCCUUGACUUUGGGAUAACUUCAGGAAACUGGGGCUAAUACCGGAUAGGAGCUCCUGCUGCAUGGUGGGGGUUGGAAAGUUUCGGCGGUUGGGGAUGGACUCGCGGCUUAUCAGCUUGUUGGUGGGGUAGUGGCUUACCAAGGCUUUGACGGGUAGCCGGCCUGAGAGGGUGACCGGCCACAGUGGGACUGAGAUACGGCCCAGACUCCUACGGGAGGCAGCAGUGGGGAAUAUUGCACAAUGGGCGGAAGCCGGAUGCAGCAACGCCGCGUGCGGGAUGACGGCCUUCGGGUUGUAAACCGCUUUCGCCUGUGACGAAGCGUGAGUGACGGUAAUGGGUAAAGAAGCACCGGCUAACUACGUGC
Molecule: ribosomal RNA, 469 nt
Filed under: uncultured bacterium
Lineage: Bacteria
Description: partial 16S ribosomal RNA
Rfam family: Bacterial small subunit ribosomal RNA
Source: RNAcentral